Long non-coding RNA from Mustela putorius furo (domestic ferret), 1971 nucleotides. Lineage: Eukaryota; Metazoa; Chordata; Mammalia; Carnivora; Mustelidae. The record is from Ensembl.
AUGUUUAAGCCCUGGAUUGCAAUCAGUUCUGCCACUAACUUGCUGUAUGAACUUGGGAUGGACGCCAACCACGGAGGGGGGAAGCCCAAGAGGAAAGAGUCUUCAGGAGAAGAGUUCUACUCGCGGUCCAGGCUCCUGGGGUGUAGAGCCAGCUCUAGGUCCUGGCCGCUGGAAGCAGAAGAGCCCACAGUGACUCACGGGUCCGUCCUGGGGCAGAGCAGUCACAACCCUGCCUCUGUGAAAGUCCGUUGUCACUUCACCACAGACUCUGAGAAGGACAAGAGACCUUGGGAAAUUAUGGCAAUUUCCCUUUCUAGUCUACCUCUCCCCAGCACCGGGAAGUGUCCCUUCCAGGGGGCCCUGCUGGGCUGCUACGUGUGCUAAAAAGAGGCCAGGUCUUGGGAUUCAGGCUGUGGAUAGAAGCACAAAGGACAUCCUCGGUCUCUGGUUUCCUGUGGCCUUCGUGUCCCCACAGGGACAGCUUGACUCCCUUUCCUGGCCUCCUGGGCCUGGCAGACCUGCCUGGGAAUCGGAGGAAGAGGGCUUCUCUGGACGGCAAGAGGGCAGAGGGGAAUUCAGCGAGGGAAGGCUGGUGAGGAAGCCCCGUCGGUCCUCUUCUCUCUGAGCCAAGAACUUUCAUCCCUGGCCCAGCUCGGUGCCGGCCCUCCCCACAGCGACAUGUCCACAUUCAAGCACGUUGCUCAUUUCAGGAUGAGGCAGCUUCUGCCUUGGGUGAGGACUGGGUGUUGAGAGCUGCAUAUGGAAAUCCAAUUGUGUCAAGCUCAUUAUAGCCUUAUAUAAUUUGAUUGCACCACUUAGAGCCAGACCUUUCUCGUAUCUGGGGUCUGUCUUCAUUACUUUCUAGAGAUGAAAGAUUCUCCUGUUCUCCUCUGUGGCACUUCUUUUAAUCUUAUCUUACCCUGGGCUCUAUUAAAGCAACAGAUUGUCAUAUCAAAUGCACAACACUGUUUAAUCAUUUCCCACACGGGAUAAAGAGGUUUGCAACGUAUUUACAGAACCCUAACCCAGCACAUGAAAUUCGGUGAGGAUUUCUCCUUUGAUUUGGAGCUCCUGAGAGCCGCGAUCUGGCUUAUGUGCAUUUUUGUCUUUGGCAUCUGACACGGAGCUGUGCACAGAGCAGGUGUUCAAGCCAGGCUGGUGAGGACCCAGGAAGGGGGACGGACCUUCCCAGUUGGACACAAAUCCGUUAAUAAGGCCCUGGUCGUGAGCUCAUCCCUGUGUAGACUGUGUCAGCCUCUCCCUCUUCCAUAGGCCAGGAGCACAACGUGAGAGGUUAAAAGAGAAUGUGACCAUCAUCUAGGCUAUUUUGAAGACAAGAAAACGGAGGCUAUGAGGAGAAGUAACGUCUCCAGGGCAAGGCAGCAUGCUGGGGAGUCUUCUGUGCAGUUCUCCCUGCCUUUAGGCCAAAUGCUCUCUCCAUGAGGGGCCUCUCCCUGAAUGUCAAUGCCUGCUGGGUAAGUUUCUAAACCGGAUGAACUAGGUCUGGGAAGGUUCAGUUUCAGCAAGGAUGGAGAUCCCAGGGUUGGAUAAGAAGUCUGGAAGGAGGAUGCUCCCACUCUGGCUACGGUUCCAGGUGGGGUCUGGGCCACGAGAACUGGCAUCUCUUGCCCCAGCAGAGGCAGAAGAAGGACAAAGAGGGAGACGUGGAAAAGCCACACAAGAACGCAGCCAAUUGCACUCUUGGGUGUUCAUUCCCUGAGAAAUGGAAAGUCACGUUCACACAAAAACCUGUUCAUGAAUGUCCACAGCAGCUUUACUCAUAAUAGCCAAAAAUGUGGUCGUGUAGCCCUGUGGCAUGUGAUACAUCCAAGCCAUGGGUUGCUGCCCAGCAAGAAAAUGGAAUGGACUAUUGAUACAGACAACCUGGAUACAUCUCCAGGAAUUAUGAGAAAUGGAAAAAAAACAAAAACAAAGCACGAAACCCUCCGAAGGUUAUGUAACCCUCCAAAG